ACACCACACAGCCCUCUUACAUAUUACACACAGCACAUUCAGUCACACCACUCAGCCCUCUUCUCACAUAUAACACACAGCACAUUCAGUCACACCACUCAGCCCUCUUCUCACAUUACACACAGCACAUUCAGUCACACCACACAGCCCUCUUCUCACAUAUUACACACAGCAUAUUCAGUCACACCACACAGCCCUCUUACAUAUUACACACAGCAUAUUCAGUCA
Pelobates cultripes (western spadefoot toad) is the source of this 228-nucleotide non-coding RNA. Lineage: Eukaryota; Metazoa; Chordata; Amphibia; Anura; Pelobatidae. The record is from the annotation of a GenBank genome assembly.